AUGAUCUGAGCCUCUCUCUCUCUCUCUCUCUCUCUCUCUCUCUCUCUGUGUGUGUGUGUGUGUGUGUGAGAGAGAGAGAGAGAGAGAGAGAGAGAGAGAGAGAGAGAUUUGGUCU
Molecule: non-coding RNA, 115 nt
Organism: Podarcis lilfordi (Lilford's wall lizard)
Lineage: Eukaryota; Metazoa; Chordata; Lepidosauria; Squamata; Lacertidae
Source: the annotation of a GenBank genome assembly